UUUUUUUUUUUGCAGUUCGCAGGCCUCUCACUGUUGUGGCCUCUCCCGUUGCGGAGCACAGGCUCCGGACGCGCAGGCUCAGCGGCCAUGGCUCACGGGCCUAGCCGCUCCGCUGCAUGUGGGAUCUUCCCGGACCGGGGCACGAACCCGUGUCCCCUGCAUCGGCAGGCGGACUCUCAACCACUGCGCCACCAGGGAAGCCCAAACUAUAAAACUUUUGAUGAAGAAUAUGCUGUUUUCAGUGAUGGUCCUCAGAUCUAGAGGAUCUACACCAAGGAAAUUCCAAACUUGAGGAGACUUAUCCCCACCUAGAACUUAUUUAGCUGAUGAGAUCCUGGUCCUCAAACCUGAACUGGAUGUCAAAAUAGACUGAGAUUUCUGGAGGCCUUGUGAGGAGAACUCCAUAAGACAAACUGUUUACAUCUUUUUUUUUUUUUUUUUUUU
Molecule: long non-coding RNA, 444 nt
Organism: Orcinus orca (killer whale)
Lineage: Eukaryota; Metazoa; Chordata; Mammalia; Artiodactyla; Delphinidae
Exons: 3
Source: RefSeq, a predicted model, not a curated record